Molecule: ribosomal RNA, 552 nt
Filed under: Bifidobacterium longum
Lineage: Bacteria; Bacillati; Actinomycetota; Actinomycetes; Bifidobacteriales; Bifidobacteriaceae
Description: bacterial SSU rRNA
Rfam family: Bacterial small subunit ribosomal RNA
Source: RNAcentral
UCUCCUGGAAAACGGGUGGUAAUGCCGGAUGCUCCAGUUGAUCGCAUGGUCUUCUGGGAAAGCUUUCGCGGUAUGGGAUGGGGUCGCGUCCUAUCAGCUUGACGGCGGGGUAACGGCCCACCGUGGCUUCGACGGGUAGCCGGCCUGAGAGGGCGACCGGCCACAUUGGGACUGAGAUACGGCCCAGACUCCUACGGGAGGCAGCAGUGGGGAAUAUUGCACAAUGGGCGCAAGCCUGAUGCAGCGACGCCGCGUGAGGGAUGGAGGCCUUCGGGUUGUAAACCUCUUUUAUCGGGGAGCAAGCGAGAGUGAGUUUACCCGUUGAAUAAGCACCGGCUAACUACGUGCCAGCAGCCGCGGUAAUACGUAGGGUGCAAGCGUUAUCCGGAAUUAUUGGGCGUAAAGGGCUCGUAGGCGGUUCGUCGCGUCCGGUGUGAAAGUCCAUCGCUUAACGGUGGAUCCGCGCCGGGUACGGGCGGGCUUGAGUGCGGUAGGGGAGACUGGAAUUCCCGGUGUAACGGUGGAAUGUGUAGAUAUCGAAAAAAAACACCA